Molecule: ribosomal RNA, 2469 nt
Filed under: Parapediastrum biradiatum
Lineage: Eukaryota; Viridiplantae; Chlorophyta; Chlorophyceae; Sphaeropleales; Hydrodictyaceae
Description: eukaryotic LSU rRNA
Rfam family: Eukaryotic large subunit ribosomal RNA
Source: RNAcentral
UGCAUAUCAAUAAGCGGAGGAAAAGAAACUAACAAGGAUUGCCCUAGUAACGGCGAGCGAACCGGCAAAAGCCCAACUUGAAAAUCUCCCUUUGGAGAAUUGUAGUCUAUAGAAGUACCCUCUGCAACGGGCGGAACCUAAGUCUCCUGGAAAGGAGCGUCAGAGAGGGUGAGAACCCCGUCGGAUCCUGCCUUGUUGCCUCACGAGGUGCUUUCGAAGAGUCGGGUUGCUUGGGAAUGCAGCCCUAAUUUGGUGGUAAAUCCCAUCUAAGGCUAAAUAUUGGCGAGAGACCGAUAGCGAACAAGUACCGUGAGGGAAAGAUGAAAAGAACUUUGAAAAGAGAGUUAAAAAGUGCUUGAAAUUGUUGAGGGGGAAGCGUUUGAAUGCUCGGGUGCGCCUAGGCUUAUGUAGUCUUAACGGGCUGCUGUAUGUGCUAGGUGCUGGCCAGCAUGGGUUGGAUUGGCAGGAUAAAAGUUGGGAUUGUUACCCGGCCUAUACUGCCGAUCCGACCAAGGCGUGAAGACUGCCCUUGUCCUUCGGGAACUGCAGUCUCAAGAUGCUGGCGAAAAGCUUUCAACCGACCCGUCUUGAAACACGGACCAAGGAGUCUAACAUGUAUGCGAGCUGGUGGGUGGAAAACCCAUGAAGCGCAAGUAACCUGACUGGUGGGAUGGCCUGUGCCUGCACCAUCGACCGACCAUGAGCUUCUGCGAAAGGUUUGAGUACGAGCAUACCUGUUGGGACCCGAAAGAUGGUGAACUAUGCCUGAGCAGGGCGAAGCCAGAGGAAACUCUGGUGGAGGCUCGUAGAUGUGCUGACGUGCAAAUCGCUUUUCGGACUUGGGUAUAGGGGCGAAAGACUAAUCGAACCAUCUAGUAUUGGUGGUAGCAGGCUUGAAAAGAGCCCUGCUAGUGGCGUAGGCAAUGCCGAAUCUCCUUUAUGGGGAGCGCUGCAAGAUCGUCGUAUUGCCGGGACGACUCGCUAUGCCAGCGGUACGGCCUCACAUGGGAAACUGUGUGACGGCACCAGGGCGAAAGUCAUGGGUAUCGUAACAAUCCGCUGGAUAGAGUCAAUCGGCAGCAAAGUCCUAAGGGCUUGUAAAAGCCAAUGGAUGAAGUUCACAGACUAAGUGGCGAUCGGUGAGCAACAGCUUGCUUAAGAUAUAGUCGGGCCGCACCGAGAGGUGAGCCCAUAGGAGGAAUCGACACAAGACCUUGUCGAGGAGAGCCUAUGGGGACUGGGGAUAGUACUUCGCACGAAGGGCCUUGUGCCUCCCAGUCGGACCAACCGCUAGUAGCUGGUUUCCUCCGAAGUUUCCCCCAGGAUAGCUGGAGCUUGUAUCAGUUCAGUCAGGUAAAGCGAAUGAUUAGAGGUUCGGGGAAUGAAACAUUCUUCACCUAUUCUCAAACUUUAAAUAGGCUGGACGUCUCGGUUGCUUAAUUGAACCGCGGCAUUCAAUGAGAGUUCCAAGUGGGCCAUUUUUGGUAAGCAGAACUGGCGAUGCGGGAUGAACCGAUAGUCGAGUUAAGGUGCCAAACUACGCGCUAACCUAGAUCCCACAAAGGGUGUUGAUUGAUAUAGACAGCAGGACGGUGGUCAUGGAAGUCGAAAUCCGCUAAGGAGUGUGUAACAACUCACCUGCCGAAUCAAUUAGCCCCGAAAAUGGAUGGCGCUGAAGCGCGUGACCUAUACUCGGCCAUGGAAGUAAGUGCGAGACUUCCAUGAGUAGGAGGACGUGGAUAUCGUUGCGCAGCCUGGGGCGUGAGCCUGGGUGAAACGGUAUCUAGUGCAGAUCUUGGUGGUAGUAGCAAAUAUUCAAAUGAGAACUUUGAAGACUGAAGUGGAGAAAGGUUCCAUGUGAACAGCAAUUGGACAUGGGUUAGUCGAUCCUAAGAGAUGGGGUAAUCCUGUAUCAAGAGCGCGAUUAGCGCUGCCCAUCGAAAGGGAAAAGGGUUAAGAUUCCCUUACCUGGACAAGGCGGCUGACGGUAACGUAAACAAGCCUGCAGACAUCGGCAUUGGCCCUGGGAAGAGUUCUCUUUUCUUUUUAACAGCUCGAAGGCCCUGGAAUCGAAUCAUUCGGAGAUAGGGCUCAGAAGCUGGUAAAGCACCGCACGUCUCGCGGUGUCCGGAGCGCCAAUGACGGUCCUUGAAAAUGCAGGGGCGCAGCUACCGAUCUUGCCAGGUCGUACUCAUAACCGCAUCAGGUCUCCAAGGUGAACAGCCUCUAGUCGAUAGAACAAUGUAGAUAAGGGAAGUCGGCAAAAUGGAUCCGUAACUUCGGGAAAAGGAUUGGCUCUGAGGGUUGGGCCUAGGGGUCUGCGUUCAGAAGCUCCGGACUGUCGAUGGUCUGUUCUGCGGCUUCGGUUGCGGUAAUGGACCGUCGCGUGUUUGGUGUGGACGGGUGUAGAAAGCUUCGGCGUUCCCUAGGCGACGAACAACCAACUCAGAACUGGUACGGACAAGGGGA